This 254-nucleotide ribosomal RNA is filed under the name uncultured bacterium. Its description in RNAcentral is "partial 16S ribosomal RNA". It matches the Rfam family "Bacterial small subunit ribosomal RNA", at positions 524 to 776 of the family's 1533-position model. The record is from RNAcentral.
UACGGGGGGAGCAAGCGUUGUUCGGAUUUACUGGGCGUAAAGGGCGCGUAGGCGGCCACCGCAAGUCGGUUGUGAAAUCUCCGGGCUUAACCCGGAAAGGUCAAUCGAUACUGCGGGGCUAGAGUGCAGAAGGGGCAACUGGAAUUCUCGGUGUAGCGGUGAAAUGCGUAGAUAUCGCUUGGAACGCCGACGGUGAAAACAGGUCGCUGGGGUUGUGCCGACGCUGAGACACGAAAGCCAGGGGAGCGAACGGG